CAUUUACUCAUAAGUUGUUUUAUUUAAUUUAUGAAAAAAAUCUAAAAUUAAUUUUGCUAUUUUUCCUUCGUGCCUCAACAUCAGUUCCUCUUCAUUCUCGCCGGAAUCACUUGCAACUCUCUGUUGCAUCCUUAUGCAGUGCCACCGUUCCACUUUCAGGUCUUGACGGGCAACGCAAAUUGAAUGGCCACGGCACCAAAUGGCAGAUUGGGCCUCCUCCAUAGAGCAUGAGGAGUCAAGUUCAAGUUCAUCUAUACUGUCGGGGAAAGAAAAAUGACAUUUAGUAAUGAGGUUAGUGUUGCAGCUAGGCAUUCUCCUCAGGGGAAAAAGGGUGUGGAAAAUGACGGUGAAGUGGCGUUUGACCCUAUAAAAUUGGCUACAGACGACCAUUUUUGCGAAAUGGAUAGGCUACAGACUGAUGUUGCAGUUACCUCUACAAUUUUUAGUUGUGUCAGUAUUGACAAUAUUCAUGCAAACAGUAGAGGACUUGAUGCUGGAAGUUCAGACGAUAUUUAGUAGGGCAGAAAGUUUUGCAUACUAAAGAAAAAAGAUACACAAUCAUGCAAUUGAGAUUAUUAUACAUUCUUGAAAGUUUGCUGAAGAAGAGAAGAAAACACAUGUGUAAACAGAGCAAAGGAGUAUCAUUAGUAGCUAUGGACAUUGAACAUAUUUACUCAACCUUUGCUAGUGUACUUCGAACCCAAGUUUGAACGUGAAAUUGAAGAUAGUGAAGAUCUAGAGAAGUUUGAGACUUCAACUGAUGCACCUCCCAUCUAGACAAUUGUUGACCACCAUUUUUUUUAUCAACUUGUCAUUGUAUCAUAUAAAAUGUUAUGUGUUUGAAAAUGAAACUAUGCACUUUAUUGUCUUCCCAACUGUUUAGAAUGACUUUCAUAUUGUGAAUAUAAAAUUGGUGUACUUUUGAAUUGUUUCCAGAUUGUGAAAAUAAAGGUGAUAUAUUUUUGAA
Medicago truncatula (barrel medic) is the source of this 967-nucleotide long non-coding RNA. RefSeq lists it as uncharacterized. The record is from RefSeq and is a predicted model, not a curated record. The transcript is spliced from 2 exons. Lineage: Eukaryota; Viridiplantae; Streptophyta; Magnoliopsida; Fabales; Fabaceae.